This is a long non-coding RNA of Oncorhynchus keta (chum salmon), 3159 nucleotides long. RefSeq lists it as uncharacterized. The transcript has 5 exons. Lineage: Eukaryota; Metazoa; Chordata; Actinopteri; Salmoniformes; Salmonidae. The record is from RefSeq and is a predicted model, not a curated record.
AGGAAAAACAGUUAUUUAUCAAUCACAAUUUUCACAUUUCAUGACUGAAAUGCCUGUAUACCUGUAUUCACAACAGAUGAUGUCUAACUCAGAAUGGUAGAUUGAAACCUCCAUGGGUUGGGUUCAGUGAUCACUAAACUAUGACCAUAAAGAUGGCUGAUCAUUCCUCCAGAGACAUCAACUGACUUGCCUAGUUAAAUAAAGGUUCAAUAAAAACAGACAUCAACAGGUUGAGACUGAGUGGAGGUGGCGGAGUGGCCUGAUCUCUGAAGGUCUGCUUUAGACUGACAGGUUAUGGUUGAGACUGAGUGGAGGUGGCGGAGUGGCCUGAUCUCUGAAGGUCUGCUUUAGACUGACAGGUUAUGGUUGAGACUGAGUGGAGGUGGCGGAGUGGCCUGAUCUCUGAAGGUCUGCUUUAGACUGACAGGUUAUGGUUGAGACUGAGUGGAGGUGGCGGAGUGGCCUGAUCUCUGAAGGUCUGCUUUAGACUGACAGGUUAUGGUUGAGACUGAGUGGAGGUGGCGGAGUGGCCUGAUCUCUGAAGGUCUGCUUUAGACUGACAGGUUAUGGUUGAGACUGAGUGGAGGUGGCGGAGUGGCCUGAUCUCUGAAGGUCUGCUUUAGACUGACAGGUUAUGGUUGAGACUGAGUGGAGGUGGCGGAGUGGCCUGAUCUCUGAAGGUCUGCUUUAGACUGACAGGUUAUGGUUGAGACUGAGUGGAGGUGGCGGAGUGGCCUGAUCUCUGAAGGUCUGCUUUAGACUGACAGGUUAUGGUUGAGACUGAGUGGAGGUGGCGGAGUGGCCUGAUCUCUGAAGGUCUGCUUUAGACUGACAGGUUAUGGUUGAGACUGAGUGGAGGUGGCGGAGUGGCCUGAUCUCUGAAGGUCUGCUUUAGACUGACAGGUUAUGGUUGAGACUGAGUGGAGGUGGCGGAGUGGCCUGAUCUCUGAAGGUCUGCUUUAGACUGACAGGUUAUGGUUGAGACUGAGUGGAGGUGGCGGAGUGGCCUGAUCUCUGAAGGUCUGCUUUAGACUGACAGGUUAUGGUUGAGACUGAGUGGAGGUGGCGGAGUGGCCUGAUCUCUGAAGGUCUGCUUUAGACUGACAGGUUAUGGUUGAGACUGAGUGGAGGUGGCGGAGUGGCCUGAUCUCUGAAGGUCUGCUUUAGACUGACAGGUUAUGGUUGAGACUGAGUGGAGGUGGCGGAGUGGCCUGAUCUCUGAAGGUCUGCUUUAGACUGACAGGUUAUGGUUGAGACUGAGUGGAGGUGGCGGAGUGGCCUGAUCUCUGAAGGUCUGCUUUAGACUGACAGGUUAUGGUUGAGACUGAGUGGAGGUGGCAGAGUGGCCUGAUCUCUGAAGGUCUGCUUUAGACUGACAGGUUAUGGUUGAGACUGAGUGGAGGUGGCAGAGUGGCCUGAUCUCUGAAGGUCUGCUUUAGACUGACAGGUUAUGGUUGAGACUGAGUGGAGGUGGCGGAGUGGCCUGAUCUCUGAAGGUCUGCUUUAGACUGACAGGUUAUGGUUGAGACUGAGUGGAGGUGGCAGAGUGGCCUGAUCUCUGAAGGUCUGCUUUAGACUGACAGGUUAUGGUUGAGACUGAGUGGAGGUGGCAGAGUGGCCUGAUCUCUGAAGGUCUGCUUUAGACUGACAGGUUAUGGUUGAGACUGAGUGGAGGUGGCAGAGUGGCCUGAUCUCUGAAGGUCUGCUUUAGACUGACAGGUUAUGGUUGAGACUGAGUGGAGGUGGCAGAGUGGCCUGAUCUCUGAAGGUCUGCUUUAGACUGACAGGUUAUGGUUGAGACUGAGUGGAGGUGGCAGAGUGGCCUGAUCUCUGAAGGUCUGCUUUAGACUGACAGGUUAUGGUUGAGACUGAGUGGAGGUGGCAGAGUGGCCUGAUCUCUGAAGGUCUGCUUUAGACUGACAGGUUAUGGUUGAGACUGAGUGGAGGUGGCAGAGUGGCCUGAUCUCUGAAGGUCUGCUUUAGACUGACAGGUUAUGGUUAUGGUAAGCUGAUGGUAAGGUGAUGGUCCCUGUAAGUGUAUAGCUUCCGCCCCUCUCUUCACCCCUACCUGGGCUCGAACCAGGGACCCUCUGCACACAGACAACAGUCACCCUUGAAGCAUCGUUACCCAUCACGUCACAAAAGCCACAGCCCUUGCAGAGCAAGGGGAACAACUCCUUCAAGGUCUCAGAGCAAGUGAUGAUUGAAACGCUAUUAGCACGCACCACCGCUAACUAGCUAGCCAUUUCACAUCGGUUACAUAAUCAUUUAGUCUGGCUGUCUAAAUGAUGUUAAGGACCUCUGAUGUGUUUAGGCUGGAGAUACCUGGGAUUCAUGCUAUGAGUCAUCAGACUAUGAUGCCACCCUGAUGUAGUAGACUGAUGCACUAAUGCAAAGAGGCCAUGAACACACACACACACACUCUCACACACACAGUCUUGAAACACACACACACACACAGUCUUGAAACACACACACACACCUAAACAGAAGUAAACACUGAAAGCAAGCACCAUGACAUCAUGAAGAGAUUUAAAAAAAAAAAAAAAAUCUACAUUGUAAAAAUGUAAGUGAUUUAUUGGUCAUAAUUUAAUGUUAGGGUUAGGCAUUAGUUAACAGUGUGGUUAAGGUUAGGGUUAGGCAUUAGAGUUAACAGUGUGGUUAAGGUUAGGGUUAGGUUUCAUGAUGAAAAACACUAACCUGUGCUGUUAAAUAAAACUGAUUGGAUUUUAGUGGUUCAAUGACCCCAAUAAACCAUGAAUUCAAUAGUACGACAGUGAUACGGUGGCUUUGUGGUUGUCACGUUAACCAUCUCUCAAUAAAGCUUCUCUAAUUCAAUCAGAUGUUCUCAGUGAUGGUAUCCCAGGAAACCAUGAAUUCAAUAGUACGACAGUGAUACGGUGGCUUUGUGGUUGUCACGUUAACCAUCUCUCAAUAAAGCUUCUCUAAUUCAAUCAGAUGUUCUCAGUGAUGGUAUCCCAGGAAACCAUGUCACAGUUUGUUCCAUGAUUAAACUCCAGCAACUAAUCGCUUAGUAGAGGAUUACAGUAUGAUCCACAGAACACUACAUGACUAAUACAGGACAAGCAGUAUGUGUGUGUCUGUGUGUGUGUGUUUUUAUAUAGCUGUGUGGGUGUGUGUUUUGCAUAAACCCCCGAC